RNAcentral lists this ribosomal RNA (1373 nucleotides) under Arthrobacter sp. JCKQ4. Its description in RNAcentral is "bacterial SSU rRNA". It matches the Rfam family "Bacterial small subunit ribosomal RNA". The record is from RNAcentral. Lineage: Bacteria; Bacillati; Actinomycetota; Actinomycetes; Micrococcales; Micrococcaceae.
CCAUGCAAGUCGAACGAUGAUCCGGUGCUUGCGCCGGGGAUUAGUGGCGAACGGGUGAGUAACACGUGAGUAACCUGCCCUUGACUCUGGGAUAAGCCUGGGAAACCGGGUCUAAUACCGGAUACGACCUGUCACCGCAUGGUGGUUGGUGGAAAGAUUUUUUGGUUUUGGAUGGACUCGCGGCCUAUCAGCUUGUUGGUGAGGUAAUGGCUCACCAAGGCGACGACGGGUAGCCGGCCUGAGAGGGUGACCGGCCACACUGGGACUGAGACACGGCCCAGACUCCUACGGGAGGCAGCAGUGGGGAAUAUUGCACAAUGGGCGAAAGCCUGAUGCAGCGACGCCGCGUGAGGGAUGACGGCCUUCGGGUUGUAAACCUCUUUCAGCAGGGAAGAAGCGAAAGUGACGGUACCUGCAGAAGAAGCGCCGGCUAACUACGUGCCAGCAGCCGCGGUAAUACGUAGGGCGCAAGCGUUGUCCGGAAUUAUUGGGCGUAAAAGAGCUCGUAGGCGGUUUGUCGCGUCUGCUGUGAAAGCCCGGGGCUCAACCCCGGGUCUGCAGUGGGUACGGGCAGACUAGAGUGCAGUAGGGGAGACUGGAAUUCCUGGUGUAGCGGUGAAAUGCGCAGAUAUCAGGAGGAACACCGAUGGCGAAGGCAGGUCUCUGGGCUGUAACUGACGCUGAGGAGCGAAAGCAUGGGGAGCGAACAGGAUUAGAUACCCUGGUAGUCCAUGCCGUAAACGUUGGGCACUAGGUGUGGGGGACAUUCCACGUUUUCCGCGCCGUAGCUAACGCAUUAAGUGCCCCGCCUGGGGAGUACGGCCGCAAGGCUAAAACUCAAAGGAAUUGACGGGGCCCGCACAAGCGGCGGGAGCAUGCGGAUUAAUUCGAUGCAACGCGAAGAACCUUACCAAGGCUUGACAUGGACCGGACCGCCGCAGAAAUGCGGUUUCCCUUCGGGGUCGGUUUACAGGUGGGUGCAUGGUUGUCGUCAGCUCGUGUCGUGAGAUGUUGGGUUAAGUCCAAGCGCAACCCUCGUUCUAUGUUGCCAGCGCGUGAUGGCGGGGACUCAUAGGAGACUGCCGGGGUCAACUCGGAGGAAGGUGGGGACGACGUCAAAUCAUCAUGCCCCUUAUGUCUUGGGCUUCACGCAUGCUACAAUGGCCGGUACAAAGGGUUGCGAUACUGUGAGGUGGAGCUAAUCCCAAAAAGCCGGUCUCAGUUCGGAUUGAGGUCUGCAACUCGACCUCAUGAAGUCGGAGUCGCUAGUAAUCGCAGAUCAGCAACGCUGCGGUGAAUACGUUCCCGGGCCUUGUACACACCGCCCGUCAAGUCACGAAAGUUGGUAACACCCGAAGCCGGUGGCCUAACCC